GACGAACGCUGGCGGCGCGCUUAACACAUGCAAGUCGAGCGAAGCGGCGGACGGGUGAGUAACACGUGAGUAACCUGCCUUCGACAUUGGGAUAGCCUCGGGAAACCGGGAUUAAUACCAAAUGGUCUAAGAGGGACUCGGGUCCAAUUAGCUAGUUGGUGAGGUAACGGCCCACCAAUGCGACGAUGGGUAGCCGGCCUGAGAGGGGGAACGGCCACAUUGGAACUGAGAAACAGUCCAAACUCUACGGGAGGCAGCAGUGGGGAAUAGUGCACAAUGGAGGGAACUCUGAGGCAGCGAGGACGCGAGAACGAAGAAGGCUUUCAAGUCGAAAAGUUCUUUUAUCUGGGAAGCGGUACCAUAAGAAAAAGCCCCGGCUAACUACGUGCCAGCAGCCGCGGUAAUAC
RNAcentral lists this ribosomal RNA (407 nucleotides) under uncultured bacterium. RNAcentral's name for it is "partial 16S ribosomal RNA". It matches the Rfam family "Bacterial small subunit ribosomal RNA", at positions 28 to 526 of the family's 1533-position model. The record is from RNAcentral.